Molecule: long non-coding RNA, 9396 nt
Organism: Panthera uncia (snow leopard)
Lineage: Eukaryota; Metazoa; Chordata; Mammalia; Carnivora; Felidae
Exons: 2
Source: RefSeq, a predicted model, not a curated record
UUUUAAUAUUUUUAAAAAUUUUUUUUAACAUUUAUUUAUUUUUGAGACAGAGAGAGACAGAGCAUGAAUAGGGUAGGGUCAGAGAGAGGGAGACACAGAAUCCAAAACAGGCUCCAGGCUCCAGGCUCCGAGCUGUCAGCACAGAGCCCGACGCAGGGCUCGAACUCACGGACCACGAGAUCAUGACCUGAGCCGAAGUUGGCUGCUUAACUGACUGAGCCACCUAGGCGCCCCUGGAAUUGUCCUUUUUAAAAAAUUCUGUUGACUCAAACUAGAAUCAACAUCUUUACUCUUUAUACUUCGUGUGUUAUUAGUCUAUUUGGUACCAGACUAUUUAACAUGGUAGCCACUUAAAAAGUGGAGUGCCUUUGUUUUCAGUGGCACAACAACAGAACUUGAGACUAUAACUUUCUUAGCACUGUCACCACUCUCCUCAGCACCUUACACUGUCACCUUGUAAUAAUAGUUGGCUUAAGAGAAAAUGAAGCAUUUGGGCUCCCAAUAGGCUUGGAGUGAUAACUGACUUCUGGCUCUCCCAAGCUGUGUGGCCUUGGGCAAGUCACAUAACCUGAGACUCCAUUUUCCUUUGACAGAAUGGUCGUAAUACCUACCGGUAAAUCCUCUGCCUGUUGUGUAGAGAGUAGACUGGCUGCAUGCUGGGACCUCCCAAGGAGCUUGAAGCACACUGACCCCCGGAGAUUCUGAUUUCACCUUGGGGAUAGGAGAUGAAACAAGGAGCAGUGAUAGUGGCUUUGACUACUAGGUAUCAGUGGAGGCGACAAGAAGUGGUCAAAUUGAGAACAUGGUCUGAAAGUAGAUUUAACAGAUUCGUUUAUGGAUAGGAUGUGGAGCAUUAGAGAAAAAGAGGAGUCAAGAAUUAAUAAAAUUUUAGGCCCUCAGCCCAGAACGAUCGUGCCAUUUACUGAGAUAGAAAACACCGGCAUGAAGGACUGAAAAUAUCCUUGCAUCUUAGAAAAGAGUGGGAAGGCCCACAUGUGCCCAUAUGUAUGUUUGUGUGCAUUUCUUUAAAUUUUCUUAGAAUAUUGCACUUAUUCUAAAAUCAGGAUUUCCAUCUUCUACCUCCUUUAUCUUCUUUGAAUAUUCUUUAGAACCUCAGUAAACAUAACUAUCAGUGUCUUACCUGCUGCAAUGUAUUUUAGAAGUCCAGGAACUGUAUGGAUUUAAUCUAUUUGGGAUUGAUACUUCUGUCAUGACUUUUCACUCCAUAAUCAGAGUCAAUGAGAACUUUCUUUCAUGUCCUCAUCAUGUUCUUUUGGUUCUUGAGGUAUUCCAAGCUGCAGGGACAUCCUUCAGAGUGGAGAAAUUAAAUGAAAGCACUUCCUAUAAAGUAGGCGCUAAGCUAAGCAAAUAUGACUUGAACCUGUGUCUGCUGAGUGAUUGGGAUAAGAUCAAGCUGUUCAGAUUUUGGAAGCUGAGGUUUUUAAUGGGCUGGAGUGGUUUUAAAAUCUCAGUGAGUAUUUUCCCCUUUGCUCAACAAUGGCCAAGCCAUUCCAGCAGAUCUACAGGGCUGACUUUGUGAUUCUAAUUAGUGGUGAUAGCCUGUGGAGACACUAGCACUGAAUUACUAGGGUCUCCCUGCAGUGGGUGAUUUUUAUUUAGAGUGCUAGAAGGUUCUUUGAAGCAUCUGUUCCAUCCAUCCUUGCAUCAUUCUUGUUCCACCUGCGAAUUGGGUAGGGUUGAUGGCAGUCUCACACAUGUGUAGGUGUCAUUGCUUUGAUGUCACUGAGCACAGUGCUGGGUCUCCUCAGUCUCUGCAGCCCACCAGCUGUCAUUCACACACCCUGGUUUAAUCUGCUCGGUGGAGGUUUCUCCCUUGUUCUUUAGCCACAUCCUGAAGGAAGCCAGCUCUGCCUUAUUUGCUUUUGUGAAGGUGACUCCUAGAUCUUUGAGCCUAUCUUGUCUAACCAGUCUUGGUAGGUUCUUUAAUACUAACCACAGUGCCUACUGCAGACCAGCCCUCCCCAGCCACACCCAUUCUUAAGGUCACGUUGGGAUUUGGUGUUCUCUGGUGUUCCUUUAUGGAUUUCCCCUUUUUCUAGCCUUGUUCAGUGGACUUGUUAGAUACUUUGCAUGCCAGAUUGUGACGCUGCUCAUCUUCAGUAGGCAGAUGAGAGUUUCACCCCUUUCCUUACCCUGGGCAGCGUCCUGUAGAGUAAAAUGCUAUUCUUGCUUGUGGGCAUUUUAUGUUGCUGUGUGUGCUAAACCGACUUCUCUGCCAAAGUCGUAAUUAGCAGAUAGGCUUUAUGUUCUUUGCAGGGUGUUUUUGAUGGUUGAGGCCUUGUUAAAAAAUAAAGAAGUAUUAUUUCUCUCUUGCAAAGUCACAAUGGAGGUAAGAAGCAGGUGGCUGUCAAACUCUGCUGACUCAUCCUGAGAAUAAUACAGCAGCAAAACAAUGUUAUUUGACUGUUUCUGCUUCUUUUAAUAAAAUGAGAACUAGUCUGUUGGAACCAGUCAUGUGUCUACCUGUUUUUACAUUAUAAAAUGCAUAAAUGGCUCUAAAAAUGAAAGUCGUAAUAAUUCAGAUAAUUUUCAUGAUUGUUUAUUUGUAUUUUUUCCCCAGUAUGUUUUCAGGGCUGGGUCAUUCAGUUAUAUCUUCCUAGGAACGCUUUGCUACCGAAGAGGUUGACUAGCUUGCAAGGAUUUUUAUCAAUUCAUUAAUGCUUUUCUCCAUGUAUAAAGUGAUUAAAACUUGGUCAUGUAUUGGCACUGUAUUUAUGGUUCUCUGAUGACCUCAGAAUUUUCUUAAAAAAAAAAAAUCAUUUUAAAAAGAUAGCCUUGUAGAAUUGCAGAGUGAGAGGGAGCUGAGAGAUUAUACAGUGCAACACAGUCCCUGACACAGCUGGCCUAGCAAUUGGUUACCCAGUUCCUCCUUGAAUACCUCUCAGUGUGAAAAUAGACAGCCCAUUCCAUUCUCAGCCACGUCUAAUUCUUAGCAAGUGCUUUCUAGAACCUUCAGUUUAUCCAAAUUCCCAAAACCCUCUCCAAUUCUGAUUUUUUAUGUCAUUUGCACGUUUAUUAGUAGUGCCAUGUAUGUCCUUAUCCUGUCAUUGGGAUCCAGGCAGUCUGGCUCCAGAGCCCUCUUGAACUUAUGUUUUUAUUUUAACUGUCCCAAGGGAUCCUUUUGUAUCAGAGCAUAGAUUCAUGGGACUCAGUCUUCGGGGUCACUCAUUCUGGACAGUAUUGUCCUGUGUUUUCCUCCCUGUAAUGUACUUUAUUUCAAAGAUACUUUGUACCUUUGGCCUGCAUGUGGCUUCAGGGUAGUGUGACCCCCUCCAGCCCCACUCUCUGUGACGGUCCCUGCUCAGUGCUGAGUCUGCCUGCCUAUGUCUCUGGACCAUAAGUCCAUAUUCCCAGGAGGGGAUCUGAUUGGCCUAGCUGGUCAGGUGCCCCUUGUUAACCCUGACACCCCAGGCCAGGGUAGUAGGUCAGGAGAGGAGUAGAGGGGCAGGAACCAAGGGUAUCUCAGGGUAAGCUCCUUCAGAAGGGCUUGAAGGCAGGGGGGAACCAAAGGAAAUUUCCAGUGUGAGCCCUGUCUGACGAUGUUGGUCAACUAGUUGAGAAUCUACAUCGUUACAUGAUCAUGAAACCUAUAUGUCUGUGUUUAAAAGAAUAGAGCCUAGCUGAAAGCCUUGUUGAAAUCCAUAUGCUAAAGUCUCCAUUUUUAAAAAGGAAAGAGUCUGUGGGCUUGCUGGUCCCCGAUGGUCUCCUCCUUCCUUUAAACCAUUCUUUUAGUCCUCUACACUUGAUUUUUGACUGGCAUUGACCCCAAACUCAUUGGCCAGUAAUAGUAUUGUUGAGACCUAGGUAAUAUAAAAGACCUUUUUUUGAAGGGGAAAUUAAAAAAAAAUUUUUAAUGUUUAUUUAUUUUUGAGAGAGACAGAGACAGAGUGUGAGUGGGGGUGGAGCAGAGAGAGAGGGAGACACAGAAUCCGAAGCAGGCUCCAGGCUCUGAGCUGCUAGCACAGAGCCCGAUAUGGGUGUCAAACCCACAAACCGUGAGACCAACCAUGACCUGAGCCAAAGUCGGAUGCUUAACCGACUGAGCCACCCAGGCACCCCAAAGGGGAAAUUUUUUAAAAAUCUGAGUAUAUAUCCCAUGUAUGAGAAAUACCCCUUUUUUUAAAGUUUAUUUAUUUUUGAGAAUGAGAGAGAACACAAGCAGGAGAGGGGCAGAGAGAGAGAGGGAGAGAGAGAACCCCAAGCAGGGAUUCUCCACACUGUCAGUUCAGAGCCCGACGUGGGACUCAAACUCAUGAACCGUGAGAUCAUGACCUGAGUCGAAAUCAGGAAUCAGAUGCUUAACCAACUGAGCCAUCCAGGCGCCCUGAGAAAUGCUGCUUUUAAAAGAGUGAAAUCCAGGUGCCUAGGUGGCUCACUCAGUUGGGAGCCCAACUACAGCUCAGAUCAUGAUCUCGUGGUUUGUGGGUUUGAGUCCCACAUCGGGCUGUAUGCUGACAGCUCAGAGCCUAGAGCCUGCUUCGGAUUCUGUGUCUCCCUCCAUCUCUGCACCUCCCCCACAUGUGUUCUGUGUGUGUCUCUCUCUCAAAAAUAAACAAACAUUAAAAAAAAUUUUUUUUUUUUAAACAGUGACGUCCUAUUCAAUGUUAACUGAAUUCUCAAUGCUAAAGGGAAAUGUUUUUAGCCGGAGAAUUUAUUUUCAGAUUUUUACCAUAACCUUUAGAAAUUGUAGUUCCCAUUAUGUAAAUCUGUGAACUCUAAAAGCACCUCUGUAGACUAUGUUCGUAAACAGUUUCUAAAGUACAGGAUUCUCUUUCUUUUCUAUUUAGAGCACUGGGACAGCUGUUUCUUGCCUUCAACUUCUGUAACCUCUCGCAUUCACCAUGGUGUCUUCUAUGAUGAGUGACAAUCCACAGAAUGAUUCUGCAGGUUCUCAUAGCUCUGCAGGUUUGAAAGUGUGUGUGUGUAUGUAGAUGCAGGCCUAGAUAUGCUGUCAGAUAUGAGUUCAUUUAGAGCAGCUAGGUGCGGGCUUUUCUUUUUUUAGCAAGCCUCUACCUUCUUUUGUGCCUCAUUCCUCCAACUAAUGUUUGUUGCAACUUUUCUAAGAAAGUCUUAAGUUGAUCACCCUUGAUAGAGAAUGAAGUAGGAAAAGUAGGAGUUGAGAAGUGCUGUUAUUUCUUUUAUUUUCUGUUAACAGUAUGCCAUCAGUUGCAGGCAGCACACCUGUCCCAGCAAUUCCUUGUACUCCACAUGGAAGGCAAGAAAACAUUUAGUAGUCUCUAACAUUUUUUUUAAUGUUUAUUUUUAUUUUUGAGAGAAAAAAAUACAUGGGGGAGGGGCCGAGGGAGAGGGGAGGCACCGAAUCCGAAGCAGGCUUCAGGCUCUGAGCUGUCAGCACAGAGCCCAACAUGGCACUUGAACCCACAAACCUUGAGAUGGUGACCUGAGCCGAAGUCGGACGCUUAACGGACUGAGCCACCCAGUCGCCCCAGUCUAACAUUUUUAAAAACACCUUUCCUUUGUUCUCAGAUGUCUGUGCAUCUGUUAUUAUUCACUCUUGAACUUGUGAGCCGAUUUCCAACCUUUUCCAUGAUCUUGUUUAUGUUUUACUGGUGCAGUGGCACUGCUCUCUUUGAAUACACCUCCCUUUCCCCUGUGUCAGGACUUCCACAGUCAGUCAGCAUGUUGCUUUAGACAGCCUUCCAGACUUCUGUCCUUUUUGGGUCUCGAUGAUAACUUAAAAUGUGUCCUCCCAAAGUCUAGAAUACAUAUGUGUCUGGUUUAGCCUGGUAUUCCCCUUUUUUGCCUGUCAAAAGCUCUUUGGUACAGUUAUGUUUUCUACAGUUUCAGUUCUGUUUUAUCACUUUUGCACUGAUUAGAGUCCAAUCCAUGGUGGCAAUUCCUCAUCUUGUGUCUGUGCCUUCUCAGAGAUGAAUUUGAAUGCGAGACAAGUCAAUGGUGCUUUUAGCUAAUUGAGACUUCGAGGAGAUGCCUGGUGGAUGUCUGGCAGUUGAAACCCCUCACUGCUAGUGCAGUCUGUUUCUGUGCCAAGUUUUAAGUCUAUAUCUAAUAUAUAUAUUCUCGGGAACAUACCAUUUAUUGCUUUUAUCUGACCAAGUGAUCUAUGGCCUGUUCUCAAGGAGGUAUCAUUAAAUUCCUUCCAUCUUUUAUUGUUCUUCUUCCUUUCCUGUUAAGCAUGAUUUAGCAUUAAUAAAAAUGUUUAUUAUUUCUAACAAUUCAGCAUGCCCAAGAUGAUUAUUUUCCAAGGUUAACAUGCAAGGCUGACGGCCAAGGAAAUUGGGUGCUUACUAUGUGUGAGGUUCAACACUAGGCAGGCCCUAGAUUUUCAUGUGAUGCUGCUUAAGGAAAGCCUUUCUUCCUGAUGUCAGGAAUACUUAUUUUAGCGUCCACCACUUAGAAUUGAUAGUACUGCUUUUGGAGUUUGCUGCAAUUCAGCAUGAGUUCAGGAAAUAGCCAUUUUUUUUUCCUAUUCUAGAUAAGAAAUGUUGUCUAUGUGGUUUCACGCUUAUUUAUUUUUAGAUCAGUUCCCACAAAGACACUUAAAGAAAAAUAUCUUUACCAUUUAUUGUAUGACAGGUCCUGAUAGAAGAAUAUAUUAGUGGGUAUCAAGACAGGCAAAAAAACUGUAAACUACUGGGAAUUUUUGGAUGCCUGAUAUUAAAAUAGAAAAUUUAGUGAACAUUUAUUACAUGGAAGAAAAUUUCCUGAUGUGUUCUUCGUCUCUUCCUGAUAUUAGAGUAACAUACCAGACAGUUACUUUCAUGUGCCCUUAUGCCUGUCCUGUCUCAGUGCAUAAGUUAGGUUUAUCUGUAACAUCUAUUAUUCUCAGCUGCUGUAAUGUAGCAGUAUUCUUACACAGAGAGUUGUGACACUGAGGCUUUUCUUUCCAGGAAGCAGCUUUAUUCAUGCCGGCACUGUUCAGUUGGGUUCGUACCCGAAGAAGUGAGCCCCGAACACCAUGUGGCAGUUUUUUUUUUUAUACAUUUUCUAUUUCUUUGUCUCCCAUAUAUGGUAACACACAAACAUGCAGUCUGAUUAAGUGGUCUCAUGUUACAAGGUCAUGAGGGAUGUUGUCACAUACUGGUAUAGCCAGGUUGCCUUAAGGUUUUGUUUGUUUGUUUGUUUCCAUUCCUUAGUGAGGGGACCCUACCACAAUAUACCUAAACUAUAGGUCAAAAGAUUAAUAUUGGAGUGAUCACAAGACCACUUUAUAUUCAAAACUUUUGUAGGUGAUACUUCAAGGAGGAAUGGUCAGAGAGGGUGCUUUCACAUCUAAGUAGCAUCUAACAAGACCAUGAGGGUAGGAGAGAUUUAUGGUUGGAAAAACUAUUGAUAUGAAACAGGGAAAGUAGAGGAGAAAUAGUUAGAAGUCGGGUCAAGCUUAUUUGUUGAAUGAAUGAAUACCUCCAUUAGUGUUAAAGCUUUAGAGCUAGGUUGUACUUUAAUCGGUUUCCCUGUAUUGUCCUGGGUAUGAUACUCACUGGCUCUGACCAUGAGCAGUUCUCCAUUAGAAGUAGUUCCUGUAUCUUCAUCAUUUUGAGAAAAUUCUUUAAAACCCUUACAGAAGGGUUCACUCCUUUUUUUAAAGACUGAAAGCAACCCAUUUUUGAAGCAGAUAACCGUAUUUUACAUCAUUGGAGUAAGUGGAUGUCCUUUGUUACAACAUUUUGUUGUAACUCAGUUGGGCUUGAGGGUAAUGAGCUACCAUUUGCAUGAAUGAUAAAAAAAAGGAGGGGAAGUUAGGAAAGCGAGGGAUGUGGAAAGCUUUUUGACUGUAGUGCAAAUUCUUUAGGGUGACAACCCAUAGUUAUCUCAGAACAUGCUGGACUCGGGGCUUGGUUAGGACAGCUGUUAACAUCAGAGGAGAUCUGCUCUAGCAAGUAGGGCCAGUUGGGGAAGGUUCUAGGCAGCCUGGUGAUUUUCUUUAUAAGAAAGCCAAGGAUGCUCCAAGGCAGUUUGACUAAUAGAUGGAUAGCUCAGAUCAGUCUUAUGUGUGCUCAACCUUUCCAUACAUCCAGAUUGCACAUUGACCAUUUCUAGUCGACCAUGGGCCAUGUGCCCACCUUUAAGUCAAAAAGGGGAACACUAACUUGAUGCAGCAGACCCUAAAGACUGCCAGCAGUUGUGCAAGAAGAGUUCUCCAAAGAAAACCAAGGAUUUUUCAGGAGAAGCAGAUGCUGAGCUGAAAUGAGCAGCAGAUGUCCACUGCACUGAGCCUAAAUCAACAGUCAGGUAUAAAUCAACAGGAAGGUAUAUUGCUGCAAUUGAAAAUUUCAUUUCCCUUCUGGCUAUUGCAACCAUGAUCUAGAAAUUUGAGACAGAUUGCUAAAUAAUUUCUAUUUUCCAUACUUUUAAAGGUGUUUGAUUUCUUCAAUGCCAUCUUUGAAAAUGUAGCGUGUGAGUCUUAACCUCUAAAGCACCCCGUUCCUUGUUCCCAGCCCCGUGGUUUUUCUUCCCUUUGUUCUUUCCCUCAGCAGCUGCUGCCAAGCUCACAAUCGAACAUUUGAAAUCGCUCUUCUGCUCCAACAGCACAGGAUAUGGGAUUUCAAAUCUCUUUUGUACCUCUAGUAACUGCUUCUAUGUUUCUAAUAAACUAUAUAUAUAGUAAGAUACCAUUAAAAACAAAAUAAAUACAAGCCUGUAAAUUAUAUUUAGCCAAAGAUUGCUUUGUUUCAGAAACUUGAGCCAAAAACAAAGCAAAACUACUAUUACAUGAUGACUUCUAAUUGUUAUUUUUCUCACAGAAUAAAAACAUACUAAAAUUUUGGAAAGGAUAAUGCUCAUGGUUUCCCAAUAAGUAGCCCUUAACUUUAAUUACACCUAAGUUUGUAGUUGUGCCUCUAAAGUCUCUGGCCAGUUUUCCAGUUCAUAUUCUUUUAUUAGAUCCAAUGACUCUUGCAAGCAAGACUGUUUGUCUGAUGACCCCAUUUUGUGUCAAAAACCAUGAGCAAUUAAUAUGACCUCUUUAAUGUCUAAUAUUUGAGGCCACUGAGCAAAAGGAUAUACAGUUGGACUCUCCUGAAUAUGUUAGGAGGUAACGUAAUAGAUAACUCUGAUUCCAGUUUUAGCCUUACUUAUAACUGCAAUAAACUUGAGACUACAGAAACUCAGUGGUGCUAUAACCAUAUUACCAGGCAACAGAAUGAUUUUGUAUUUUGUUCUUUUCUCCCUCCUACCUACCCACCCCUGCUUUUCUGUUGCAUAACCCCCCACACAGAUGACAAUUUGGGGGAAAACAUUUACUUACUUAAUAUUAAUUUAUAAAAUCAUAGGGUAAAAUGCAUUAUUUUGCUAUCUAUACUUAGACACUGGUCACAAUUUUCAUUAUAAUUUAUCCACAAAUUUUAAAAAUGUUAAUACCAGGGUGCCUGGGUGGCUCAGUCGGUUAAGCGUCCA